This 741-nucleotide ribosomal RNA is filed under the name Triticum aestivum (bread wheat). Its description in RNAcentral is "partial small subunit ribosomal RNA". The record is from RNAcentral. Lineage: Eukaryota; Viridiplantae; Streptophyta; Magnoliopsida; Poales; Poaceae.
AUGGCCGUGGACGAUGAGAUGUCGCGCCGGUUCCUCCCCUGGGGCCUGCCCCUCAGGAGCGGUUCUGGGUACAGGGUAACCCCGAGGCCGGACGAGCCCGUCUAUGUCACCGGUGCAUACCUGCUCGACUCCGAGAGCGCAGUCGGCCAGGGCGCCGUGGACGCCUGCGUCCAUAUCGACACGCGGAACCUCCUUAGCGCGUUGCUGUCGCCGGAGAACCCCCGCGUGGAGCUACAGACCCCGGUGCGGCUGGAGAUGGACAAGGAGUGUUGCUUCCACGUGGUGCCGCAUGGAGGCGAUUCCGACGCCGAAGCAGACACGGACGCCGAUGCUGAGACCGGCACAGACGUCGACGCCGACACCGAUGAUGACGCAGACGCCGACGCGGUUAUCGUCAUGUUCGAGGGUUUCCUUGUUACCCCGCAACCUCUUGACACGGCGGAGGAGGAGGAUGACGACGCGGAGGAGGAGGAGGAGACUGGCAGCGACGACGACGGGUACGAGGAGAAGGAGGAUGAGGACGACGCGGAGGAGGAGGAGGACGAGACUGGCAGCGACAACGGCGAGUACGGGGAGAAGGAGGAGGGGGAGACUGACGCUGAGGUUGACCGAGACGUGGCCAGGGCGAGCAGUGCCGGCGGCAACGCCAAGGAGCUUCGACAGGUUGUAGCUAUAACUAUGGCAUUCCUAGGCAUCCUUUUGUCUGUCUCUACGUUAGCAUUCCUCGGAUUGAUAGUGUAA